Long non-coding RNA from Syzygium oleosum, 734 nucleotides. RefSeq lists it as uncharacterized. NCBI's taxonomy places the organism in Eukaryota, Viridiplantae, Streptophyta, Magnoliopsida, Myrtales, Myrtaceae. The record is from RefSeq and is a predicted model, not a curated record. The transcript has 2 exons.
UCAGCUGAGACUGAUGGAAAGCGAAUCCCUCUAGCUUCUUGUGCGUGAAGCAAUUGAUGAGACGAGCCCCUCUCCGUAUUUGACGCCUCCUACGGUUAUUUAAAUUCGAAUUUCAAAAGGGUGAAAAAUAGAGAAAGAAACGGAGGCCUCUUCAUUCAAAUUUUGUUUUUGCCCGUUUUGAAAUCUGAUUGUGUUGUGUGCUGGGGAAACUAUAUAUACUGAUGUAUCAACUGCUUUUUGAAUUCCAUUGACUCCACUCCUUGAGAGCUGCUGGUGCCGGCAGAAGACAUGGACGUUCACCGGAGCAAACCAGAGGAGGCGGCACACGACAAGCCAAGGGCUGCGGCCGUGUCGGAGAUCGAAGAGUUCUUCGUGGCCAUGGAGGGCAAGCUCGUGCAGUAUUACAUGGACAAGUAUAAUUAUGAUUUUGUCAAGGACGAGCCAAUGGGAGGACGGUACGAGUGGAUCAGAUUGAAUGAAGCCUUGAAGACUGAAUGAUGAGUGAAAGGAGAAUUAAGCAAGCAAGGCAUUGGUGAUGUUCUAAUUUGGUUAAUUUUUGGUUAAUUUCGGAAUAAUUUGACUGGUCAUUUUGGGAAUUAUCUCUCUCAUGUUUGGCUAGGGUUUAUUCUGUUGUUUCCCUUUUGUCAUGUACAGUCUUCAUGUGUUUAGGAUUCAUAAACAUUAUGGUGAAUAAAGAUUUGAACAUGAAUUAGUAGAAUUGUUUUUUUUUUUUU